Molecule: ribosomal RNA, 253 nt
Filed under: uncultured bacterium
Lineage: Bacteria
Description: partial 16S ribosomal RNA
Rfam family: Bacterial small subunit ribosomal RNA
Source: RNAcentral
GACAUAGGUGGCGACCGUUAUCCGGAAUUAUUGGGCGUAAAGAGCUCGUAGGCGGUCUGUCGCGUCUGGUGUGAAAUCCCGAGGCUCAACCUCGGGCUUGCAUCGGGUACGGGCGGACUAGAGUGCUGUAGGGGAGACUGGAAUUCCUGGUGUAGCGGUGGAAUGCGCAGAUAUCAGGAGGAACACCGGUGGCGAAGGCGGGUCUCUGGGCCGAUACUGACGCUGAGGAGCGAAAGCGUGGGGAGCGAACAGG